This 284-nucleotide ribosomal RNA is filed under the name uncultured Peptoniphilus sp. Its description in RNAcentral is "partial 16S ribosomal RNA". It matches the Rfam family "Bacterial small subunit ribosomal RNA", at positions 64 to 355 of the family's 1533-position model. The record is from RNAcentral. Lineage: Bacteria; Bacillati; Bacillota; Tissierellia; Tissierellales; Peptoniphilaceae.
GGGCGAAGAUAAGACGGAUUAGCGGCGGACGGGUGAGUAACACGUGAGUAACCUGCCUUUUACACAGGGAUAGCCUCGGGAAACCGGGAUUAAAACCUGAUGAAACUAUCAAAUCACAUGAUUAAGAAAGUUAAAACUCCGGUGGUAAAAGAUGGACUCGCGUCCCAUUAGCUAGUUGGUGAAGGUAACGGCCCACCAAGGCAACGAUGGGUAGCCGGCCUGAGAGGGUGAACGGCCACAUUGGAACUGAGAAACGGUCCAAACUCCUACGGGAGGCAGCAGCU